RNAcentral lists this ribosomal RNA (277 nucleotides) under uncultured prokaryote. RNAcentral's name for it is "partial 16S ribosomal RNA". It matches the Rfam family "Bacterial small subunit ribosomal RNA", at positions 524 to 800 of the family's 1533-position model. The record is from RNAcentral.
UACGGAGGAUCCGAGCGUUAUCCGGAUUUAUUGGGUUUAAAGGGUGCGCAGGCGGGGGAUUAAGUCGGCGGUGAAAUUUUGCAGCUCAACUGUAAAAGUGCCUUCGAAACUGGUUUCCUUGAGUGUAGAUGAAGUAGGCGGAAUUUGUGGUGUAGCGGUGAAAUGCAUAGAUAUCACGAGGAACUCCGAUUGCGCAGGCAGCUUACUAAACUACUACUGACGCUCAGGCACGAAGGCGUGGGGAUCAAACAGGAUUAGAUACCCCCGUAGUCCCUGA